CCAGGUGGCUGCUGAAUUCAGUGCCUGACGUGCCUGGCAGUAAUUCCUUUUUUCGCUGUGCUAGAGGAUCUGGAGCUGGCACGAUGUCCUCUUGUAGACACACCACUGGGGGCACAGUUGGUUGCUGUGCAAGGACAAGCAUGAAGGAAGGUGCCAGCUUUGGGGAGUCACUGUUUUCUUUGUUUUAACCAGCAGAUGACAGGGCAGGAUCCCCCACAGCAGAGCUGUCCCAGGGGAACAUGCUCUUCAACACAACCAGACAUCGAUGGACUUCACAUGAGCCUCAGGCCCCAGGAAGCUCGAAGGAGCUGGAAGGCGAAGAGGAGCCGCUUUUGAAUGCGGCGGGGAAUAGACCUGCAACUCCGGUCCUGCUCCCCCCGGCUCCAGACCCCUCGGACGCGGUCCCGGCGGGGAGGUUUUCAGAAGAGAGAGCAGGAGAAGCCCGUGGCUGCUUUGGGAGAAGCUGGGUACUGCUGGGAGCAGGUGGAGGAGGAACCCCUGGAAAAGCCUGAGAUCCAGUGAGAGGUGGGGAGCAGCCCCCGAUGGACCACCCUACAUCGGCAGCCCCCCUGGAGGAGAGUGUGACCCUGGCCCUUCUUUUCUGCCCCCCACCCUGGUACCCGCCACUCUUAGCCCUGUCCUAAAGAGGUCCUCAGCUCCAGCUUUUUCCUCUUCUUUCCCUGACAUUUCCCUUUAGUGAACAUGUUUCCAGUUUUCCUUUCUCCUUUCCUGUUGCUCAGGAAGGACCCAUGAGUCUCACUCCCCUGGCUGGCACAGCCUGGCUUUGCUUUGAAUUAUUUAUAUAUAUUUUUUUUUUCAGAUUAAGCAUUUAGUGUGAAUAAAUUGUUCUCACUUCUCCCUCUGAUUAUUCA
RNAcentral lists this long non-coding RNA (872 nucleotides) under Calidris pugnax (ruff). RNAcentral's name for it is "lncRNA (ENSCPUG00000013300.1)". Lineage: Eukaryota; Metazoa; Chordata; Aves; Charadriiformes; Scolopacidae. The record is from RNAcentral.